GCCAGGACCAAGAGCGAGCCGGGAGGGCCCCCCGCAAGUUCCGCGAGGCUCUGACGCCGGGAGGAAAGGAAGCGGGAAAGGCAUCUGACAAGCUGUCGGAGGAAUACCCAUGAAGGAGGAGGAGGAACAGGAGGCAUUUAAGAUGGCGGAGUAGAAGGACAUGUGCUCGUCUUCUCCCGUGAGAACUCCAAAAUUAUAGCUCCCUGCUGAACAACCGUUGACAGGGAAAUGUUGCAUCCCACCAAAAAAGUAUACCUCACAUGCAGGGGCAAAGAAGAAGCCCCAGCAAGAUGAGUGAUAACAACUAAAGCUUACAUCACUGAGCAAAAUCCUGCUUGGAAGACACUUCAAAAGAUAGAACUGAGGGGCUUCCCUGGUGGCUCAGUGGCAAAGAAUCCACCUGCCAGUGCAGGAGACACUGAUCCCAUCUCUGGUGUGGGAAGAUUCCACAAGCCGCCACAACUAUGGAGUCUGUGCUCUAGAGCCCAGGAACAGCAACUACUGAACCCACGUGCCCCAACUACUGAAGCCCUUGUGCCCUAGAGACCAUCCUCUACAACAGAAGAAGCCACUGCAGUGAGAAGUCCACGCACUACAAGGAGG
Budorcas taxicolor (takin) is the source of this 603-nucleotide long non-coding RNA. RefSeq lists it as uncharacterized. The transcript has 3 exons. NCBI's taxonomy places the organism in Eukaryota, Metazoa, Chordata, Mammalia, Artiodactyla, Bovidae. The record is from RefSeq and is a predicted model, not a curated record.